GGGGAUUAGUGGCGAACGGGUGAGUAACACGUGAGUAACCUGCCCUUGACUCUGGGAUAAGCCUGGGAAACUGGGUCUAAUACCGGAUAUGACCGUCUGACGCAUGUCAGGUGGUGGAAAGCUUUUGUGGUUUUGGAUGGACUCGCGGCCUAUCAGCUUGUUGGUGGGGUAAUGGCCUACCAAGGCGACGACGGGUAGCCGGCCUGAGAGGGUGACCGGCCACACUGGGACUGAGACACGGCCCAGACUCCUACGGGAGGCAGCAGUGGGGAAUAUUGCACAAUGGGCGCAAGCCUGAUGCAGCGACGCCGCGUGAGGGAUGACGGCCUUCGGGUUGUAAACCUCUUUCAGUAGGGAAGAAGCGAAAGUGACGGUACCUGCAGAAGAAGCGCCGGCUAACUACGUGCCAGCAGCCGCGGUAAUACGUAGGGCGCAAGCGUUAUCCGGAAUUAUUGGGCGUAAAGAGCUCGUAGGCGGUUUGUCGCGUCUGCUGUGAAAGACCGGGGCUCAACUCCGGUUCUGCAGUGGGUACGGGCAGACUAGAGUGCAGU
Molecule: ribosomal RNA, 551 nt
Filed under: Arthrobacter sp.
Lineage: Bacteria; Bacillati; Actinomycetota; Actinomycetes; Micrococcales; Micrococcaceae
Description: bacterial SSU rRNA
Rfam family: Bacterial small subunit ribosomal RNA
Source: RNAcentral